GGGAAUCUUGCACAAUGGGGGCAACCCUGAUGCAGCGACGCCGCGUGAGCGAUGAAGCCCUUCGGGGCGUAAAGCUCUUUCGACCGGAACGAUAAUGACGGUACCGGGAGAAGAAGCUGCGGCUAACUACGUGCCAGCAGCCGCGGUAAUACGUAGGCAGCAAGCGUUGUUCGGAGUUACUGGGCGUAAAGAGUGCGUAGGCGGUUUUCUAAGUUCGGUGUGAAGUCUCCCGGCUUAACUGGGAGGGUGCGCCGAAGACUGGGAAGCUGGAGUGUGGGAAAGGCAGGCGGAAUUCCUGGUGUAGCGGUGAAAUGCGUAGAUAUCAGGAGGAACACCGGCGGUGUAGACGGCUUGCUAGACCAUAACUGACGCUGAGGCACGAAAGCGUGGGUAGCAAACA
This 400-nucleotide ribosomal RNA is filed under the name uncultured bacterium. RNAcentral's name for it is "bacterial SSU rRNA". It matches the Rfam family "Bacterial small subunit ribosomal RNA", at positions 357 to 774 of the family's 1533-position model. The record is from RNAcentral.